Molecule: long non-coding RNA, 9155 nt
Filed under: Salmo salar (Atlantic salmon)
Lineage: Eukaryota; Metazoa; Chordata; Actinopteri; Salmoniformes; Salmonidae
Description: lncRNA (ENSSSAG00000088919.1)
Source: RNAcentral
AUGCAGUCAAUUUUACAACUUCAAUACAGCUGGAAAACACUCUGUUAAUUCUCUCUGCCUUCUCUUCUUCCCUCGCACUCUCGCUUCUCUCAUCCUUUCACUUCCUCACUUCCUCUCUCCUUAACCUCUACACCUCCUUCUCUCUCAUCCUGCCUUUCUAUUCCUCUUCCAUCCAGUCUUCUCUCACCCUCCUCUAGCUUCUCUCUCUCUCUCUCUCUCUCUCUCUCUCUCUCUCUCUCCUUCUCACUCUCUCUUUCCUCCUUUGGAUUUCAAAUCAUGAUCCUCUCUGCUGCAAAGAAAACUCCACCUACUCAGCGCUGCUAAUGUAGUCACUGACAGUGCAAGCGUUCUUCCUCCCUCGCUCUUUCCUGCUCUCUGUUGCGCUCUCUCCUGCUUCUCUCUCUCCUGCUCACACUCUCGCUUUCCCUCGUUCUCUCCUACUCCCCUCCUCUCACUCCCUCUCUCGCCUUUUCCCUGUUCUCUCUCGCACACACACUCUCUCACACACACAAACAAACACACUCUCUCUCUCAUAGCUCCAGUCCCAAAUAAAUAAAGAGGCACAGAAGGAUGUGGGGGAAAGAGAGAGGUUGCUGCUUUAGCAAGAACAAUGUUGAUGCAACCCAACCUUCUUAAUCUCCUACCUGCUUUGGAAAACGUGUGAGGAUUAAAGGCGCGUGGCGGUGUUCACACUGGGAUUUCUACAUCACAAAAAGAUGCUCAGUUCUCCCUCUCCUGCCCAAGCCACAGAAAAGGGGACUACUGUUGAGCACUUGUAUCCUCCUGUUUCAGUUCUACCUGCCUAACAGUCAGCCCUGCACAGCCACCGGAGGCAAUGACAGCCUUGCUGCUCUAGAGCCCCAUGGAGCACAGUCCGCUGCUGGAUUCCAUGCUUUUGUAGAUAUACAUUAGAAGGAAUUCCUUCUUAGAAGCCAAACCGAGAGAAAAGAAACACUGGCUGCUCAUCAGCUCUAUGGUUUUCUGACUUGUCCAAGACUGUGAUUUUUGGCAUCUGACUAAGAGGCAAGGCAACCACCAUCUCCAUCAUUGCUAGCUGUCAGGCAGGCGAACAGAAAAUGCCAUGGGCACUAUCUGAUGUGUGGAGACAUUUCACUGCAGCUAAUGUAGAAGGAAAAGCUGUGUACAUUUGCCAAUACUGUGCCAAAUCAUAUGUGAAGACUGCAACAAAGAUGUAGAAUCAUCUGGCCAAGUGCAUAAAGUUCCCUGGUCGCUCACAACAAGCAACCACUGACAAAAGUCCCUCUACUUCUAUUCGAGGUGAAAAUGAUGAAUCAGAAACCUUAUCGAUAGCAACAGCUCAUGGUCCUCCUGGAAUCAGGAGUUUUUUUGACUCAAUGGAGGAACGUGGUCAGAGAAAUGCUGAUGAAUGUCUUUCUCAAGCUGUGUAUGCAACUGGUUAACCUCUGAUGCUCACAGGCAAUGUGAAUUGGAAGAGAUUUAUGAAUGUUCUUCGCCCAGCAUACACCCCUCCAACCAGACAUGCUUUAUCUACUCAUUUACUGGAUGCAGAGCUCAACAGAGUUCAAGUGAAGGUCAAGCAAAUCAUAGAGAAAGCAGGCUGUAUUGUAAUCAUCUCUGAUGGGUGGUCUAAUGUUCGUGGGCAAGGAAUAAUUAACUACAUCAUGCCCACCCCUCAACCAGUAUUCUACAAGAGCACAGACACAAGGGACAACAGACACACCGGUCUCUACAUUGCAGAUGAGCUGAAGGCAGUCAUCAGUGACCUUGGACCACAGAAAUAAUUUGCACUGGUGACAGACAAUGCUGCAAACAUGAAGGCUGCUUGUUCUAAAGUGGAGGAGUCCUACCCUCACAACACACCCAUUAGCUGUGGUUCUCAUGCAUUGAAUCGGCUCCUCAAGGAUAUCAUGGCACUGAAAACAAUGGAUACACUCCACAAGAGAGCCAAGGAAAUGGUUAGGUAUGUGAAGGGUCAUCAAGUUAUAGCAGCAAUCUACCUUACCAAGCACAGUGAGAAGAAUAAGACCACCACAUUGAAGCUGCCCAGCAACACCCAUUGGGGUGGUGUUGUCAUCAAGUUUGACAGUCUCCUGGAGGGGAAGGAGUCUCUCCAAAAAAUGGCCAUAUCACAGUCUGCCGAUAUGGACAGCCCCAUCAAGAGGAUCCUCCUGGAUGUAUUUUGGGAGAGAGUAGGCAGCCUGAAACUCCUGAAACCUAUAGCAGUAGCCAUUGCACAGAUUGAGGGAGACAAUGCCAUCCUGUCUGAUGUUCAGACUCUGCUGGCAGAUGUAAGAGAAUAAAUCCGUACUGCCCUGCCCACUUCACUGUUGCUCCAAGCAGAGGAAACUGCAGUUCUGAAAUACAUUAAAAGCGUGAAGACUUCUGCCUGAAGCCCAUACAUGCCGCAGCGUACACGUUGGACCCCAAGUAUGCUGGCAAGAGCAUCCUGUCUGGUGCAGAGAUCAACAAGGCCUAUGGUGUGAUCACUACCGUGUCUCGCCACCUUGGCCUGGAUGAGGGCAAGGUUUUUGGCAGUCUGGCGAAGUACACUUCCAAGCAAGGGCUUUGGGAUGGAGAUGCAAUAUGGCAGUUUUGCCAACAUAUCUCAUCAGCCACCUGGUGGAAGGGACUUUGUGGAUCUGAGGCUCUUUCCCCUGUUGCCUCCAUCAUCCUCCAAAUCCCACCAAAAUCAGCCGCCUCAGAGUGCAACUGGUCCUUGUUUGGGAACACACAUACCAAAGCAUGCAACAGGCUGACCAAUUCAAGGGUUGAAAAAUUGGUGGCCAUCAGGGCAAAUUUGAUGCUUUUUCAGCCUGACAACGAGCCAUCCUCAACAAGGUUGGAAAGUGACAGUGAAUAUAAGGCCUCAGAGUCUGAUGUUCAAGAGGUGGACAUUGAGGAGGUCCAGGGAGAAGACAUGGAAGCCUGAGAGGAAGACAACUAAAGCUUUAGUUUCUCGACUAUGUUGAAAAGUUUUUGGGAGAUGCGAUGGAUCAUUGGGGAUCAUUCAAUAUUCUCUUUCUUUUGUUGUUCAGUUAAAUCAUCCCAUGUGAAGAGUAAACUCAUUUAAUUAAACUUCAAUUCAUAACUAAAUCUUUUUUUUUAUUUCUAUUGGAAGGAUUUAAUAAUUUGCAAUUAUGUCUACAUAUGACAAGGUAAAAGGUUUAUGUUUCUGUCUCCAUAUGAUAUGGUAAAUAUAUCCAAUGCAAAAAACAUCUACAUAUAAAUGGUAUUAAUAUUAAUUUGCAUAUAUUUCCGUUAAUUCCCAUAUAUUCCCUAUGAAAUCCCAUAUAUUCCUGUUAAUUCCCACGGAAAGUUUCCACCUCUGAAUAUUCCCCAAAAUGUGCAACCCUAGUUGUCUUAUAGCCUCAAUUCAAAAUUGAUUAAAUCGGUGUUGUUCUCUCAGCCAUUUACACGCAAUACCCCAAAAUGACAAAGAAAACAUGUUUUUAGAAAUUUUUGCACAUUUAUUGAAAAUGAAAUACAGAAAUAUCUCAUUCACAUAAAUAUGCACACCCCAGAGUCAAUACAUGUUAGAAUCACCUUUGGUAGCAAUUACAGCUGUGAGUCUUGCUGGUAAAGUCUCUAAGAGCUUUGCACACCUGGAUGGUACAAAAUUAGCCAUUUCCAAGUCUUGCCAUAGAUUAAUGUCACAGAAUGUAACAAGGCCACUCAGGAAUAUUCAGUCUUGUCUUGGUAAGCAACUCCAGUGUAUAUUUGGCCUUGUGUUUAAGGCUAUUGUCCUGCUAGAAGGUGAAUUUGUCUCCUGGUGUCUGUUGGAAACAAACAGAACCAGGUUUCCCUCUAGGAUUUUGUUUGUGCUUGGCUCUAUUCCAUUUAUUUUUAUCCCCCAAAACUCCCUUGUCCUUGCCAAUGACAAGCAUACCCAUAACAUGAAGCAGCUACCACCAUGCUUGAAAAUAUGAAGUGGUACUCAAUGAUGUGAUUUUACCCAAAUAGAACGCUUCGUAUUCAGGACAUAAAGUACAUUUCUUUGACACAUUUUUUAGAAGUUUUACUUGUCUUGUUGCAAACAGGAUCCAUGCUUUGGAAUAUGUGUAUUCUGUACAGGCUUCCUUCUUUUCACUCUGCCAAUUUGGUUAGUUUUCUGGAGUAACUACAAUGUUGUUGAUCCAUCCUCCAUUUUGUCCUAUCACUUCUAUCAUUAGACUGUAAGUGUUUUAAAGUCACCAUUGACCUCAAGGUGAAAUCCCUGAGCAGUUUCCCUCCUCUCUAGCAAAUGGGUUAGGAAGGACGCCUGUAACUUUGUAAUGACUGGAUGUAUUGACACACCAUCCAAAUUCUAUUGGAGGGAUGCGACACCAUUCUUCCACAAGAAAUUCCAUAAUAUGGUGGUUUUUUUAACCUUUAUUUAGCAAGGCAAGUCAGUUAGGAACAAAUUCGUAUUUACAAUGACGGCCUAGGAACAGUGACUUGUUCAGACUGCCUUGUUCAGGGGCAGAACGACAGAUUUUUACCUUGUCAGCUCUAGCCAAUGAGAGAGCAGGUAGCCUAGUGGUUAGAGUGUUGGGCCUGUAACCGAAAGGUUUUGAGAUCAAAUCCCCAAACUAACAAGGUAAAAAUCUGUUUUUCUGCCCCUGUACGAGGCAGUUAACCCACUGUUCCUAGGCCGUCAUUAUAAAUAAGAUUUUUUUUUUAACUGACUUUCCUAGUUAAAUAAAGGUUAAAUAUGAAAUAUAUGCAUGUGAACAACAGGCACAAUGGUUUACACUUGUUAUCUCAGCCACAAUGUCAAAAUGGUCUAUAUUGUAAAAAUCUGCAUUUUUUUAAAUUUAAUUUAAGGUUACGUUUCGGCAUAAGGUUAACAGUGUGGUUAAGGUUAGGUUUAAAUCACUUUUUAAGAAGAGAAAUUGUAGAAAUAGGUGGGGUUUAUGUCUUUGUGGUUGUGGUGAUUAGUGACGAUCAAGCAUAACUCCGAUAUAGUGUUUUUUCUCAGUGAUUCCGGGUUGUCACGUGUCCUACUUAUGUCAGUACACUCGUAACAACCUAAUCAUUACAAAACUUCUAUUCGAUCAAAUAAGACACAUGUAGCAAAUAAGCCAUUCAAUUUUUUGUUAACCAAAUUCGACAUUCUCUCAUUGACCUCUAUAUAUAAACUCCUUGCUUAGUAAAAAAAAAAAAAAAAAAAAAAAGCCACCAGCUGGAGAACACAGAUUUUGGUCCCAGUUAACCCUCUCACUUCGCCUCUUCCUGUCUGUUUUUAUACAUGAACCUAAGCAUGAUGGGAUGUUAAUUGCUUAAUUAACUCAGGAACCACAUGUGUGGAAGCACCUGCUUUCAAUAUACUUUAGCCCUCAUUUACUGAAGUGUCUCCAUUAUUUUGGCAAUUACCUGUAUGAUCUUCUGCACUUUGUUUGACUUUCUAUACGCCUUUCACAUGGCAACGUCAUGCCAGAGACUGCUGGUUUGUGUUGGUUUCAGCUGUCCUUUGAAAAGCAUGAGCUGGCACACACCCCAAAAAGUUAGUAAAGGUGCUGACUAAAGGCGAGUAAACUGUAGGCUAUAAAAAAAAAAAUAGUCACACACUUUAUAUAUAAGCUCCCAAUAAUAUAUUGGGUAAACCAAUGUGUCCUUUGGCCACAGUUUUAGCCUGUCUCUCAAUAUCUCGCUCUCUCUCCCUAUCUCUACCCUCUUUCUCUCUCCCUCCCCCCCUUUCUCUCUGUUCCUCUGUUCCUCUGCCUCUAGCCCCUGGGGUUCCAGUUAGCUCUGCAAACUGUCACUUGAAAGUAGCUCUGGCGCUGACAGAUUGAUUUCUUUCCCUCAAAAGUUUACGUCUCUGCAGAUCUAUAAAUACACACGGCCUAAUAUUGAGUUCCAUUUUGAUGGACAAUAGUGCCAAAAUUGAUUGCUAAUAUGUUUUGAAUGCAGUCAGCCCGAUUCUUUACGGGGUGAGACUAUUUACCCGUUAUAAUAGCACUCAAUCAAAAGUCAAGCCAAGGUUGAUCUGGCAUCAGCAUUAUGCCAUUAUUAUUAAACCUACACAGCACUAAGGUCUAAUAUGCUGAAACAAACACCCCGUGCAUAUCGGAAAUAUGAAGCCAACAAUUGGUAUUAAACAAAUGCAAAGCUAAACUGGAGCUUUUAGUGUGUGUUUAGAGAGUUUGUUUGGCUAAUAACUUCUCAAAUAAUAUUUUUCCAGAUCCAUCCACUGACACCUUGUCAUGUAUAGUAGUCCACACAUGGGAUUCAUGUGUAUAUAAUCCCCCCUUCCAUUUCAAACACACACAGAAUAAGAGCAUGAACAGUGGUGGACUUACAAUUAGGAAGAAGAGGAAAUUGCCUCAGGUCUCACAUCAUCAGGGGCCUGGUAAACUGGGCAUAAUAAUAAAGUAUAUAUAUUAGUAAUAAAUAAUAAGACAAUAAUUUCUCCGCUCGAGGCCACCCAUUCUUUGCUUGAGGCUCAGCUCAGCUCACUGCUCUUUUCCGGUCUUGCUUCAGCAGGUUGGUUCAGCAGCAGCAAAAUCUGCAGAUAGCUUCAAAGUUGCAAAGGAAAUAUAUGUAAACAUACACUACCGUUCAACAGUUUGGGGUCACUUAGAAAUGUCCUUCUUUUUGAAAGAAAAACACAUUUUUGGUCCAUUAAAAUAACAUCAAAUUGAUCAGAAAUACAGUGAAGACAUUGUGAAUGUUGUAAAUCACUUUUGCAGCUGGAAACGGCAGAUUUUUUAUGAAAUAUCUACAUAGGCGUACAGAGGCCCAUUAUCAGCAACCAUCACUCCUGUGUUCCAAUGGCACGUUGUGUUAGCUAAUCCAGGUUUAUAAUUUUAAAAGACUAAUUGAUCAUUAGAAAACCCUUUUGCAAUUAUGUUAGCAUAGCUGAAAACUGUUGUCCUGACUAAAGAAGUAAUAAAACUGACCUUCAUAAACUAGUUGAGUAUCUGGAGCAUCAGAAUUUGUGGGUUCAAUUACAGGCUCAAAAUGGCUAGAAACAAAGAACUUUCUUCUGAAACUCAUCAGUCUAUUCUUGUUCUGAGAACUGAAGUCUAUUCCAUGCGAGAAAUUGCCAAGAAACUGAAGAUCUCGUACAACGCUGUGUACUACUCCCUUCACAGAACAGCGCAAACUGUCUCUAACCAGAAUUGAAAGAGGAGUAGGAGGCCCCUGUGCACAACUGAGCAAGAGGACAAGUACAGUUAGUUUGAGAAACAGACACCUCACAAGUCCUCAACUGGCAGCUUCAUUAAAUAAUACCCGCAAAACACCAGUCUCAAGGUCAACAGUGAAGAGGCGACUCCGGGAUGCUGGCCUAGUGUAUAUUUCAUAUCAAUAUUAAUAUAAUCCACGUUUUUCUUACAGUAGUAGAAACAAGUGUACUUAAUAACCCUGAAAGAGUUCCUGUGCAUUGUUUCACACGAUAUGAUUGUAAAUAUGACUUUCAUUGAAAGUUACGCUGCUGCAAUGAAGUUCUUUCAGAGCGGGGCAAAGAAAAUAAAAACAGGCAGAAGAUUUGAACAGAAAAAUUACUUAAGUUAACACAUUUCUUUAGUAUCAAGACUGUUAAUACUGCCAUCGUCGUCGAGGCAAAGGACACGACGACAACGAGGCCAGAGAUAGGCCCAGGCCUAGCUAGCGCUUCAACAACCACUAGCAUUAGCCUAGCUAUAACUUAAACCAGUUGCAUUACUGACUCUGCUGCUGUUGGUGGCUCAUCAUCAUCAGUACCAGCUAGCACUAGCAGCAGCGCCGCGGUUACUAAUGUCAAACCAGAGAGAGAGCUCUACGAGGAUUAUGCCCUCACACUGCCUUCCUAGAGUUCAACUACCCCACUGAUCUGCUGCCUCUGCUAACUGACUAAGGUGAGUAUUCAUUCAUCCCACCUCAUCCUGUCUUUGAAUGGUUCUCUCCCUCCUCCACUAAAAUAUUAAAACUCCACACUUUAGCUUACACACACACACACACACACACACACACACACACACACGCACACACACGCACACACACGCACACACACGCGCGCACGCGCACACACCAUUUAAACAUCAGUUGUGUCCCAGCAGCGCUUGGGGUUUCUCAGACUAAUGGAAUCUGGUCUCCACACACACUGGCACAUUAACAGUUACACAGACAUUCAUUUAGAGACAACUUUAAGUCCUGCUGGAGGGUGUGUGUGUAUGUGAGUGUAUGUUGGGGCAGGGUCUGACAACAAAGAGACAGGUGCUAUUACCCUAUGGGCAGCACAUCAGCAGGUAGACAUGUGUCUGUGUGCAUAGUCACUUUAACUAUACAAUCAUGUACAUACUACCUCAAUUGGGCCGACCAAACCAGUGCUCCCGCACAUUGGCUAACCGGGCUAUCUGCAUUGUGUCCCACCCACCACCCGCCAACCCCUCUUUUACGCCACUGCUACUCUCUGUUCAUCAUAUAUGCAUAGUCACUUUAACCAUAUCUACAUGUACAUACUACCUCAAUCAGCCUAACUAACCAGUGUCUGUAUGUGGCCCCGCUACUUUUAUAGCCUCGCUACUGUAUAUAGUAUAUCUUUUUACUGUUGUUUUAUUUCUUUACCUACCUAUUGUUCACCUAAUACCUUUUUUGCACUAUUGGUUAGAGCCUGUAAGUAAGCAUUUCACUGUAAGGUCUACACCUGUUGUAUUCGGCGCACGUGAUAAAUAAAGUUUGAUUUGAUUUGAGAAUAUGACCCAUGAUAAUUGUUUGGAUGACGAUUGGACAACAUUUGCCCAAAACUGUCUGCUGAUGUGGUAUAUACUUACAAUUAUACCACACUGUUCUAUUGCUCCCUUCAGAAGGUCAUGUUGGCAGGAUAAUGUUGACAGGCAUGUGCGUGUUGCGUUAAUCUUAAUGUGAUAGAACAUUUUGGGACCUUGAUAAUCAAAUUCAUUAACAUAUUUUUCCACGUGAGACAUCUAUGUUGUUUGCCUUCUCUUGCUGAGACCACUUUUAGCUACAGUUGUAUGAAGCUUUUGAUUGGCCACCAGCCUGUGUUUUGUCAAACUAUACAAAUCCCUCGGGCUCUGGUGCCUUUUCACAAAAUCUCCAGGGACAAAAAUCCCAUUUUAAAGGAAUUGUUUUGUCUAUGGCCUUCAGGAAACAGUUAGGCUAUUAUAAAAUGACAGAGCAUUAAGAACAGAGUUGGCUGCCAACCACCAUAAUCGACUUAUACGAUUGUGUGUGUGUGUGUGCGUGCGUGCGUG